GCAGCUCUUAAUUUCUUGGCCAUAGUGGAGUUUGGAGUGUGACUGUUUGAGGUUGUGGACAGGUGUCUUUUAUACUGAUAACAAGUUCAAACAGGUGCCAUUAAUACAGGUAACGAGUGGAGGACAGAGGAGCCUCUUAAAGAAGAAGUUACAGGUCUGUGAGAGCCAGAAAUCUUGCUUGUUUGUAGAUGACCAAAUACUUAUUUUCCACCAUAAUUUGCAAAUAAAUUAAUUAAAAAUUCUACAGUGUGAUUUUCUGGAUUUUUUUUCUAAUUUUGUCUGUCAUAGUUGAAGUGUACCUAUGAUGAAAAUUACAGGCCUCUCAUCUUUUUAAGUGGGAGAACUUGCACAAUUGGUGGCUGGCUAAAUACUUUUCUGCCCCACUGUAGCUUGAAGCUGACAAUUGACUUGUGUUGGUGAUAAAAACCUAAAAGCUAGCAUUCUAUAGACAAGAUGUGGUGUGUGUGACUCGAGAUAGAGAGAGCCUGGAGGAGUUAAGAACAAUGCCUCAUUGUCUCAUCUUCCUGGCAUCUGUGAAACUAAGUAAAAUACCAUACUGUGUAGAUAAUCAAGGUGACUUAUGGGAAGGUUAGAAGUGACUGACUAAGCAAUAUUAGUUUCAACUAUAUAAAAACUGUGCAUCGUCUGUAAAGGCUAGACUCUCAGCCUAGCAGUCAGUUAAGAGUGGUGGGCUGACGGUCUCAUUAUUGCAAUAAUUAAUCAAUUUUAAAUAAAGAUGAUUGUUUGAAGAAAUGACCAAGACCAAGUCUCUCUCAGUACUGAAUUUCCACGACAAGUGAAACAAGGGCUAUAUCAGUUCCUGGUUCCACAUGUUUUUGAAUGGGGCAUGCUUAUUUAAGAUGGGGAGGAAAGCACUUUUAAAGAAUAACCAGGCAUCCUCUACUGAUGGAAUGAGGUCAAUAUCUUUCCAGGAUACCCGGGCCAGGCCGAUUAGAAAGGCCUGCUCACUGAAGUGUUUUAGGCAGCGUUUGACUAUGAUGAGGGGUUGUCGUUUGACCGCCGUUUGAUAUCUAUGAGGGUGUCCGAGUUUACGGAUUUGGGGUUGUACCUGGUAGGUUCCAUGAUAAUUUUGGUGAGAUUGAGGGUAUCUAGCUUAGAUUGUAGGACAGCCGGGAUGUUAAGCAUAUCCCAGUUUAGGUCACCUAACAGUACAAACUCUGAAGAUAAAUGGGGGGCAAUUAAUUCACAUAUGGUGUCCAGGGCGCAGCUGGGGGCUGAGGGGGAUCUGUAACAAGUGGCAACAGUGAGAGACUUCUUUCUGGAAAGGUGGAUUUUUAAAAGUAGAAGCUCUGUUUGGGCACAGACCUGGAUAGCGGGACAGAACUCUGCAGUAGAUUGCAACUCCAUCCUCUUUGGCAGUUCUGUCUUGGGGGAAAAUGUAUAUUCAUACAUAAAGGCAUUUUUCAGCUAUGAUUUUACCACUCAGAAUCCAGAAUGGAUAUGACAAUGGGGCCAGCACAGGAUGUAAUACACGCUUACAACAAUCUACUAGAACACCUGUGGGCCAAGUCAAGAGCUACCCUUCCUCUUUCAGUCAGCUCUGCACAUGUCUGAAAGUGACAGACCCAGAGUUCUUCACAGUAUGUCAUAUAAAAUUAUUACACUUAUGAAUGUAUGUAAAAUGCUAAUAUGUAUUAGAUCCAGUACAAUGGAAUAACCAAGACCUGAAUUUGAAUGCACCGUGUUCCGAUUCCUCCUAUUCUUUCUGUCCAGCAGGGUCAACCAAAAACACUUGGCCGGAUGGUUCAUGCAGAUACUGGGGAAGCAAUAUAGAAAUGUAUUGAUCCCUUAAAUUAUUUUACUAUUAAAUAACCUAUAUCACAACCCUCAUACCUCUUCACAAAAAUGUACCUAAAUCAAUUUUGGAAAAAAGAUUUCACACACAAAAGACGUAGGAAUUUAUUUUCCCAGUUAGAAAUAGUAGGCCAUGCAUCAAAUAAUUAUUUUCAUCAGAAAAAAACAACUCUCAAAUGCUCUAUUGCAUUUUGUAAGUUGUCUGCAGGUGGCUUGUUGUGAAUGCACUCAAAUAUCAAGUCAUUAUCAGGUUAUGGAAACUGUGUUCUAAUACUCAACAUAGAAGGAUUUGUCUUAAUGUCCAGUAUAUGAAAGUGAUUCUAUGAAAAUUAUUCUUUCACCUUAUCAAGCUCACUCUGACUGACAAAUCACUGCCUUUCACUUGUGAUUAAAAAGAGCAUAUGAAACAUUGUUUUUCACGAGGCCUACCUGUGCUCCUUCCUUUAAGCAUCUCUGUUUGAACGCCUCUCCUGUCCUUGAUCCAUUCCACAUACAGCCAUUUGCGGAUCUUUUCAGUGUCCAUGUAAAAUAUAGUUAUUGCGAGGCUGGAAUAUUUGUUAACUUAAAAAAAAAAUUUUUUAGCACCCAUGUGAAACGAAGGCCUGCAAAGCUUACAGAUUUAAGUCUAAUAGCAUGAUUUGAAAGUAGACUAACAUCAGAGUGAGCGAUAUGAAGGUAUAGUCAGUGGACAUUCUGAACCUGGUUUGAGGUCAGUAGUCACAUGACCAAGGAGCAUUUUAAAUUUUCAUAAAUUCAUGUAAAAUCUUGUGAGAUGAAAAUGGAUAAACUAAAGGGUGUGCAAUGUGUAGGCCUACUGAGUGGACAUUCUGAACCUUGUUUGAAGUCACUAGGUCACAUGACCAAGAAGCUAUUGAAAUUUUACAUUUUGAUAAAUUCAUGUAAAAUCAUGUGAGAUGAAAAUGGAAAAAAAUGUGUGCAAUAUAGAAGGGUAGUCAGUGGACAUUCUGGACCUUGUUUGAGUCAAGUAGGUCACAUGACCAAUGACCUAUUGAAAUGUAAAAAAAGUUUGUUUACACUCCCUAACUAAUUCAACUAGGAAUAAAAAAAUGCUGCUCACAUUUCCACAUAUUUAUUAGCUUUGGAAAGCGAAUUAAUGUCCAAAACGGGAAAAUAAGCGCAGUUUUUCCAACAUAAUGACACUUAUUUGGAGUCUGUGGCUCAAGUGGUUUGAAAGCGCGAAUAUCUGUCAAUUAUCCAACUUGAAACUGUCUUUACCUCGGUGACCAAUACAAGUUUUUGUGGAGCUUGCUCAAAGCGUUGAACCUAAAGAAACCACCAAAACGUCCAUUUGUGUGCUCCUACCACUUCUUUGACAAGAAGCCUACAGUGAAGCGUCCUUACCCAGAAAAAUGGCUUGGCUACGAUGCUCCACUUGUGAAGAAGCGUCGGGCGUUGGUCAGGUAGUCGUCAGGACAGGUGACACAACAGACUCAAGUGUUUACCAAAUUGAAAAUGGGGAUUGGCCAGCACAGAAGGAAUGGAUAUGCCUUCAGAGAAGGAUGCCCAAACCCAAUGGGAAGACCCAUCUCUAAGUGAUCACAACUACAGCUCAGGUGAUCAUGUAAAGCCCACUACCUGUGAGGCAGGGACACAGUGCCCAGCAGCACCUCUCUACAAAACCCUGCUGAGAAACGAAGCACUCUGUUGACUGCAUACAGGCUUGUUUCUUGCUGCCUUUUCUACCCUGGCAGAACAUCUUCUACCCCUCCUACAAAGGAAGCUUUCAGUUAGACCUGACAGACUAACUCCUGAUGACAUUGAUGAAGCUGAAGCUCAACUUGCUGCAGCAGUACCAAGCAGAAAGGUUUGGUGUUUCCCAGAGUAUUGUCAGUCAAGUGAUUAGUUAUUGGAUUGACAUGAUGGAAGAGAAUCGGAAGUAGUAAAUUCCAUGGUUGCCAAGGGAGACCCCAUCCAUGCUACAAUGUGACAAUGUUUUAAGGACCACUGUCCAGGAACAACCUGCAUUAUUGACUGCUCAGAAACUGCUUUACAGAAGUGCAAGAGUCUGGAUUCAAGGGGGAGUCAUUCAUCCAUUACUAUGCCCAGAACACUAUCAAGUACCUCAUGGUCAUUGCACCUUGUGGUCUAGUGAUGUUCAUCUCCUCAGCAUAUGGAGGUAUAUGUAGUGACAAAUAUAUAACAUAGGAUUCUGGGUUUCUGGAGUACUUCUGUCCAGGUGAUGAGGUCAUGGCUGACCGGAGCUUCACAAUCUGAUCUGCUACAAUAGAGGAAGGUCGAAUUUACAAUUCCAGCCUUCACAGAAAGAGGCACACAGCUGUCAGACGACACCAACUUGUACAAGACGGAUAGCUAACGUGAGGGUUCAUGUGGAACGCGUAAUUCAAAGGCUCAAGUCGUUUAGAAUCAUCUCACAAACAGUGCCAAUCAACCUCUCAUCUGACAAAAUACUUUGAAUCUGUGCUGACCUGUGUAACCUGCACUGACCUGUGUGGUGAUAUCAUUCAUGAAGAUGUUGAAUCAACUGAUCAGUCAAAUGCCAUUCACAGGGUUGAUUUCCCAAUAUGAAUUAAAGUUGUCAAAAUUUACAUUAAAUACAUUUCAAUUCAUUCUAUAACAACUUUACUUAGUUAUUUGUUUUACAUACUCAUUAAUAUUAAUAAAAAACAAAGCCGUAAAAACAAUUUCCACAAUACUGUGACUGUUGAUGCAUUAAGUCAGGCUUUUUAAUUGAAAAACAAUGUGUUAAUAGUAACUGCAAACAGGAGACAUCUGACUACAUAUGUCUAUAGAGCUGCAUAUAUUUGUCACUCGGUGACAAUCUGCUGCCUGAUACUUCACAAUAAAUGGCAGCAUGUGUUGAGUAGAAUGCCUUCAACCUCGACAGCCUCUGCACAAACCUGUGCAUCAUAGGGAACAGGGAUGACAACUUGCCGGGACAGAGUCCAGAUGAACACCUUACUUUCUCUCAGUCUUGUGCAAAACAUACCAAUUUGCACCUGCAUGUAGUAGCCACGUGGCCUAUGUGGUUGCAGUUAGUGUGUGCCCUCCACCACCUUCACAUCACAGGCUUUCCCAUUGAAGACAUCACCCAGAGAUUCACAGCCCUUCCUAGGGCCUUAUGAAAUCCAUUUUUUUUUUCAAAAUUCCAUUAUAUAUUUUCCCAAAUUACAUUUUUUCCGUUUAAAUUUGUCUGAUUUCUGUGUUUUACAAUUUAUGCAAAUUUUAUCAGAAAGUGUGUCUAAUAAUAUGAAUAUGAAUGAAUAAAACGUAGUCUUGUAUUUGCUGAAACUCCUCUCACAGUUGACUGAGCUGAGUGGGAAGUAAAUGUAGGACACUACCACUUCUGCAACUCUUGGGAAUCUCGCACUCAGGCCCCUCCAGUAAUCAGCAAGCUCCAAAGCAGGUGAGGGCUCCCUGAACACAUUUUUCACUGAGCUCUGAUGAUGGGCUUGCCAUGAUGAGCUCCGAUGAUGGGCUUGCUACACACAUCAGUUGUGUGUGUAGCCUUGUGAAUGGAAUUUAUAUGUUUACAUGAAUGAUUAGAAUAUUCCACCCUGAAACCAUAUAAUUGAAUGAAAUUGAUUAGAAUUAUCAAUUAUUAUUAAUGAUGUGUCUAUUCUUAGUCAGUAAAAUUAUAAUAAAUAUGUGUAGUUUUAGUCAGAAUUAGGGUAAAACAAAAUCUGUAAAAUAUGUCUCUUUAGUAUCUUAAACACAGACUGUCUGAGCAAAAUUUGGUGCCGACCUUGCUAGGGGCCUCAGAGAUUUGAGGGAGGACAGGGAGUACUUCUCACGGUCCCUAAUCUUUGUCGGCUGGGUAUUGAUAAAGUAUGUGUGUAGGAUACCUACUGUUCGUGUGUAUGUAGGUGCGUAUGAUAUCUACUGUUUGUGUGGAAGUAUGUGCGCCGCUAUAAAAUGGAUGUCUUUGUAUAGUGGACUUUAGAACGUUCUCGUGAAUAAACUGUACUGACCUUUUGCAUA
Oncorhynchus masou masou (cherry salmon) is the source of this 5775-nucleotide long non-coding RNA. RefSeq lists it as uncharacterized. Lineage: Eukaryota; Metazoa; Chordata; Actinopteri; Salmoniformes; Salmonidae. The transcript has 2 exons. The record is from RefSeq and is a predicted model, not a curated record.